Molecule: long non-coding RNA, 1669 nt
Filed under: Salmo salar (Atlantic salmon)
Lineage: Eukaryota; Metazoa; Chordata; Actinopteri; Salmoniformes; Salmonidae
Description: lncRNA (ENSSSAG00000118729.1)
Source: RNAcentral
UUUAAAACCAUCCCUUCCUUCAUCCAACUGUAUUUAGAUCAGUGACUACCUCAUUAAAGGCAGUAAGGAAGGAUGCAUUUGUAAGUAUUGGAAUAAGGCCUGAAUGUGAAGGUGUGACUGUGCCAGUUUGCCAGCUGCUGUGUCAGAAGCACUGACUCCUGAACUUGAGGAGGACAUGAUGCAGAGUGAGGUGAUGCAAGGGGAGGCCCCGGAGCAUGAGACCCAGGGGAACAACAUUGACAUAUCCUAUGAACUACCAGUAGAGGGAGCUAAACUCAACAACCUGAUGGCAGUCCUCCUCCUCUCCCGCUCCUCCAUCUCCUCCUCAACUCACUGACGGAUCCCACUUCAUGUGUGUGUAGACGUGUCGAGGAGGUGGUUCUGUGAACUGAACUACACUCACCCAGACAUUGACCUUGGUGAGCAGUGACUCAUAAGCGAUGCCAGCCUGGAGACCCAAGAUGGCAUCCUACAGAGCCAUGAUGGCACCAGCCAGUCUGCACAGAGCAUGCCCAGUAUCUCUCUGUAUGUAUAGAAACGACUGUAGCCAGACAGAUAGAAAGAGUAGAUCCACAGGCCUGCUCGUAUUACUUACUGCCGGCCUACACAAUAACUGUGAUGCAAAACUUUUUCAUUCACACAGAGAUAUCAGAGGACAAGAUAGUAUUACCAGAGUGAUAAUUGAUGAUGAUGAUUAUUAUUACAUUUCCAAUGCUUAUUACAGGUAUUAUGAUGGUCUGUUAUUUUGGACAUGUUCUGUGAGGAUGUCUUGAGUGUCUAUGAGCAGAGCACUGCUGUGAAAAGGAGAGGACUGUACAGUUGUAAAUAAGAGCACUAGAGGAGUCUCACACUGGGAAGAUCUCAAUUGCAUACUACUUGUGUCCUGUCUCCUCGUCUCCUUCUCAAAUCCCACUGGAGGAGAAGGUCAGAGGGGAAGGAUAUCUGGCUUUCUCAUCUAAUGGGUUUUGAGAAGGAGACAAGGAUCUGAGGACGGGAGGAGUAUGCAUUUGAGGUCUUCCCACAAUCACACACUAUUGAGAGGGCGAAGCACCAAAUCUACACACACUAAGGCAGUGCUUUCCUUUAACCACACGGGGGCGCCAUAUGCUCUUGUCUUUUUUUACUGGUUUUACUCCCAUUUAAGUUUUUAACCUGAGGCCCUAAACGUUUCAUUUUCCACAUAUUUUACACCGCACAUUCCCUCAUUGUUCAAAGAAGUUGUUAAUAUAUACAUAUAUAAAACAUAUAGAAUGAACUAACUAUACAAUGGGUUUAUACUUCAAUAAGGUGCCACCCUAUUGCUGCUGUUGGACAGAGUUUAAAUAUUUUAUAAAGGUUGUGUUUAUUUAUGUCGGGAGGAUCGGGAUCUGGUCGCCGCUGACAACCACACGUAAAUGUCCUGGGUUAGAAUCGAUCUGCUUCUCUGUUUUUUUUUUCUACGGCUGAGAUAUAUUUAAAGUAAAAUAUAGAAGAGAGAGAAAAUAGUUUUAUGAGAUUAGGGUUGUGUGUUAGAUUCUGUCUGGUUGUGUGGAGUCCUGGACAGAGAGAAGAGAAUAGCACAUGUAUAAGCAAUAAGCAGGUGUUUUGUUCCUCCAGGACAUUAAAAUAUAAUGUACAUAAAAUGUAAAGUUUCAUUGUGUAAAUGAUGUACACCAUAGAAAGAGCAGAG